This 74-nucleotide transfer RNA is filed under the name Oscillospiraceae bacterium. RNAcentral describes it as "tRNA-Gly". It matches the Rfam family "tRNA". Rfam says of the family: Transfer RNA (tRNA) molecules are approximately 80 nucleotides in length. The record is from RNAcentral. Lineage: Bacteria; Bacillati; Bacillota; Clostridia; Eubacteriales; Oscillospiraceae.
GCAGGGUUAGUUUAUUGGUAGAACGAUCGCUUCCCAAGCCAUAAGGGCGGGUUCGAUUCCCGUACCCUGCUCCA